Molecule: microRNA precursor, 73 nt
Filed under: Gongylonema pulchrum
Lineage: Eukaryota; Metazoa; Nematoda; Chromadorea; Rhabditida; Gongylonematidae
Description: mir-87 microRNA precursor family
Rfam family: mir-87 microRNA precursor family
Source: Rfam by way of RNAcentral
UGCAAUCUCGCCUGACACUCGGUCUCAACCUGUGCAUAUGAGAAGGUGAGCAAAGUCUCAGGUGUCAUUGCAC